RNAcentral lists this ribosomal RNA (708 nucleotides) under bacterium IMCC8411. RNAcentral's name for it is "bacterial SSU rRNA". It matches the Rfam family "Bacterial small subunit ribosomal RNA", at positions 28 to 734 of the family's 1533-position model. The record is from RNAcentral.
AUUGAACGCUGGCGGCAGGCCUAACACAUGCAAGUCGAGCGCGAAAACACUUCGGUGUGAGUAGAGCGGCGGACGGGUGAGUAAUGCUUGGGAAUCUGCCCAGUAGUGGGGGAUAACGUGUGGAAACGCACGCUAAUACCGCAUACGUCCUACGGGAGAAAGCAGGGGAUCUUCGGACCUUGCGCUAUUGGAUGAGCCCAAGUCAGAUUAGCUAGUUGGUGAGGUAAUGGCUCACCAAGGCGACGAUCUGUAGCUGGUCUGAGAGGAUGAUCAGCCACACUGGGACUGAGACACGGCCCAGACUCCUACGGGAGGCAGCAGUGGGGAAUAUUGCACAAUGGGCGAAAGCCUGAUGCAGCCAUGCCGCGUGUGUGAAGAAGGCUCUAGGGUUGUAAAGCACUUUCAGUGGGGAGGAAAAGUUUAAGAUUAAUACUCUUGAACCUUGACGUUACCUGCAGAAGAAGCACCGGCAAACUCCGUGCCAGCAGCCGCGGUAAUACGGAGGGUGCGAGCGUUAAUCGGAAUUACUGGGCGUAAAGCGCGCGUAGGUGGUUUGAUAAGCUAGCUGUGAAAGCCCCGGGCUCAACCUGGGAACUGCAGUUAGAACUGUCUGGCUAGAGUAUAGUAGAGGGUGGCGGAAUUUCCUGUGUAGCGGUGAAAUGCGUAGAUAUAGGAAGGAACAUCAGUGGCGAAGGCGGCCACCUGGAG